Molecule: ribosomal RNA, 497 nt
Filed under: uncultured Rhodococcus sp.
Lineage: Bacteria; Bacillati; Actinomycetota; Actinomycetes; Mycobacteriales; Nocardiaceae
Description: bacterial SSU rRNA
Rfam family: Bacterial small subunit ribosomal RNA
Source: RNAcentral
GCCCGCUCAGAAACUCAAAUGAAUUGACGGGGGCCCCGGCACAAGCGGCGGAGCAUGUGGAUUAAUUCGAUGCAACGCGAAGAACCUUACCUGGGUUUGACAUACACCGGAAAACCGUAGAGAUACGGUCCCCCUUGUGGUCGGUGUACAGGUGGUGCAUGGCUGUCGUCAGCUCGUGUCGUGAGAUGUUGGGUUAAGUCCCGCAACGAGCGCAACCCUUGUCUUAUGUUGCCAGCACGUGAUGGUGGGGACUCGUAAGAGACUGCCGGGGUCAACUCGGAGGAAGGUGGGGACGACGUCAAGUCAUCAUGCCCCUUAUGUCCAGGGCUUCACACAUGCUACAAUGGCCAGUACAGAGGGCUGCGAGACCGUGAGGUGGAGCGAAUCCCUUAAAGCUGGUCUCAGUUCGGAUCGGGGUCUGCAACUCGACCCCGUGAAGUCGGAGUCGCUAGUAAUCGCAGAUCAGCAACGCUGCGGUGAAUACGUUCCCGGGCCUU